GAGUGAGGUAGAGGCGCGAAAACCAUGAGUACCUCCCAGAGAUCGGGUAUCUAUGAAGGGCAGGAAAAGGGGAAUUCGCCGAAGUGUGAAGAGCGACCCGUGCUUUUCAUGCUGGGCUUGCGUUGAACAAGCGCAGGACUGUCAUCCAGGCAAUGGCCAGUUGCUGGAUGGAGAGCUAUCUCACGG
This 186-nucleotide non-coding RNA is filed under the name Brevibacillus panacihumi. RNAcentral describes it as "Lysine sequence". It matches the Rfam family "Lysine riboswitch aptamer". Rfam says of the family: Riboswitches are metabolite binding domains within certain messenger RNAs that serve as precision sensors for their corresponding targets. RNAcentral also lists the same sequence under 1 other name. Lineage: Bacteria; Bacillati; Bacillota; Bacilli; Caryophanales; Paenibacillaceae. The record is from RNAcentral.